GCUUGCUGUCAAUAAAUAUGUGGGUAAAUCUCUGUUUGGGGCUCUCAGCUCUGAAGGCUGUGAGACCCGAUUUCCCACUCCACACUCUGUAUUUCUGUGUGAGUGUCUUUAAUUCCUCUGGCGCCGCUGGGUUAGGGUCUCCACGACUGAGCUGAUCUCAGUAUCUACCACAUUCUGCUUUAUUCUCUUCUCUAGGGUAAGAAAAAUCACAAUACAUGGGUAUUCAAUAAAAUUCAAUUAAUUUAAGCCUGACUCUUGAGAAUGUGCAAUUGAAGGUUAUGAAUGUGUCACACCUAAGGUGGUGGUAGAAGUCUCUGGCACAUGGAAAAUGCCUGUUUUAACUUUUAGCUAUUUUUUUCAGGUUUUUGUCAUUAGAAUAUUUCUUCUGUUUCUACUGCAAAUAACUAUCAAAAAGGAAAAGAACAACUAGGAUGGCCUCCCCUGUUUAUCAUUGGCCCUACAAUUUUCUAGGAGUAAUAUCUUUUUGGAAUUAUGUAAUGUCCUCUGCUAAUGACAGUGUAUAGAUGCUAUUACAUUUCCUUGGGGGACAAAGUACUGUUGUCUGGAAGCUUUGAGAUUAAUGUAACACAAAGUAAAUAAGGAAGCGUUUUGCAUAUUCUUAGAUUUUUACAUUUUUAUUUUAAAACAGAGAAUUUCAUAUUGAUUAACACCUACUACUAAACAGAAUGAUGCAUUAAUUAAAUGCCUUGUCCUAACUGUUAUAAGCUCUGUUAGAAAAAUAAACAUCUCACCACAAACUACAGUGUCAGCUCUUUAAUAAAUACAUAAAACAGAAGUUAGUAGUCAAUCAGAGUUAUAUGAACAGGUUCAUAGUAUAUUAUGUGAAAGUAUCAUAUUCUCCAAUAUUCUGUAUCAUUUAAGACAAUUUAAGUUACGUAUAAUUCAAAGCCAGAAAUAAUAAGAAAUAUGUUCAGUGAUAAUUUGCUUCUUUCUUAGAGCUAUUUUAUAUUCAAAUAUUUAAUUUAAAAAUAUAUUCUAUAUUAAAUUUAUUUUUACAAACGCAGUAUUCGUUAGGUGAAACAAAAUAAGUUUUUAUGUUACUGAUAAGUUUAAUACAUUUCUAAUUUUUUUCAGAAGUUCAAGAAACCAUAAUGAAGUAGCUAAUGUAAAAUAGUUUAAAAGCUAUGUUAAAUAUACACAAAAUGAAUUUCUAUAUUAAUAUGUGCAAAUGUAUAUUUUCUUAUAAUUUAGAAUUAAAGUACUUUAUACUCAAUAUUCUUAAUAAAAUUUAUGUACCAUACUUGUCAUUGCGUAGACUUCUUAUCAAAAUUUCACAUUUAUCUGUAGGAAAAUGUAAAGUUGGUAAAAAUUGUUUACACAAAUCACACAUUUUCCAUCCUUGACAAUUGCAGUGUUUUUUUUUUAAAUAUUGCUGUAUUAGACAAUUUUAACUGAAGUAGGUUGUAGAGGCUAGAAGAAACCUGAUUAAUAGAGUUAGCUUACAAAGAUAAAUUUUAUGCAGAAAAGUAUUCCAGGUAGAUAAAAGAGUAGUGUUAUUACUCUCAGGUUUACAUUAACAGCUGCCCAGAUAGCUGAACAAUUAUUUCAUAUAAUUCAAAUAUAUUAGGCUUAUUAAGCUUGAAGCUUUAGGAAAUCUCUUGGGAAGAGUGAGUGGAAAAAACAGGAGUAAGAAAAGGAAGAAAAAGCCUUUGAGUCUAAUCUACUCUACCAGGUUCCAGGAAGAAUAUAAUUCUACAGAGAAAAUUCUUCAUAAUCUAUCAUAAUAUAUUUCAGUGUCUGAUGGCUGACUCUUGUCUUGCAUAAAGAUAUCUUCAGUGGAUAUUAAGUAAAUAUUAAAAAUAUAUUUCAGAUUCAUUCUUUGAAGGAUUGCAUCUCAUGCAUCCACAAAUUUUAAUGUUGAGUUUUGGAAAAUUGCCUCCAGAGAUAUCUACUGUGUUUAAUCUUAGAUUUUUUUUUUAUUUUAAUAAACCAAAGAUAAACUGAACAUUUAAGACAUAAUCAGAUUUUUAGUGAAUUUUUAAGUCCUCCAGAAAAGUCUAUGACUUAAUAAAUAUUAGCAAGUUUCCAAAAAUAUAACAAAUGUUUAUAAAUACGUGUGCACUGCAGUGCAAUGGUGUCCCCAGAGAAAUAAAAUGCAUAACAAAGCAAAUGUUAUGUUGUAGUGUAUGUAUGGCACAUUUAUAAAUCAUUACAUACUUUAGGGCACAAAAAUGCUGCAGUACUAAAAGUGUUGUUCAAGUUCUCAAUUCUGUUAACAAUUUAAAAUUUCAUUAAUUGUGUUUAAUAUCAAUGAAUCUCAAAAGGCUCCUGUGGCCAUAUUAGUUGAAAAUAGACUCUAUUUGCAUACAUUAUUUAACCUAAGAGUACCCUGUGUUCCCUUACCAUUUAAUUAAUUCUAACUAGUCAAAUAUUAAUUCUCAUCUCACAAAUCAUUACACAGGAAGAUAUCAAUUAUUCAAGUAAAAUACAAGCCCUACAAUCUUUAAAAAUUAGCUUUUUAAGUAAAAACAAAAAAGAUAAGCACAAGACUUUGCAAGCAUAACCACAAUCAUCGUCUAACACUGAGUUGCCUACAAGGAAGUUUGUCCCUUCCUAUGGUAACAGCCUUGGUCCACUAUAAAGUUAGUGCAAACAAGUGAGGGUAUAAAAAAAAUAUAAACUCUGGAUUUUUAAGGAUUUCAUUUUGUUAUACUCUUUUUGGAUAAUUCAUUCCAUACGGAAAUUUGUUUAUUGUUCAUAAAUAUCAUAAUGUUCAUUUCAAAAAUUGUCAUCAUCUUAAUGGCUAUCUUACACUUUUUUCUUUUGGAGGGUUGUCAGGCAUCCAUCCAUUUUCCUUUUUAAGAAGAACGUUAUGUGUAUUAGGCUACUAAACCCAAUUUUUACAUUAUUUUUAGUGAUCAAAGGUUUCUUAUACAAGUGACUCACAGUACUGAAUUAUGUCAAUCUCUCAUUUGAGGAAGGAAAUGCAGUUCAAGUUAGCAUUGAAAGUGCUUGGCUGUAGAGGACAUCUAACAGAGCUGCUGUGUUUAUUGGCUCCAGAACAACUUAUUAUAGGUUUUUCAGUUCUCUUUAGGGUAGAAUAUGAGAUGGGGUUAGUCUUCAUCAAAAUGCAGUAUCUAGUACUUUAACUCAAGUGCUGGAAGACAGCAAAUCUUGGAAGUUUAUUAUAAAAAAAAAGAUAUUUCGGAUAGAUUCCUUUGUUGUCAUGGGCAAAACUGUAUAUCCACACAGGACUGUUAGACUCCUAGCCAAUAAAAUCAGACUAAGUCCAUAGGGAUAAGGUAAGUGUAAAUAAAUUUCCAUUGGGGAAGACAGGGCUCAUGGCCCGUGUAUCAAGGUCUCAAGCUGAGCACUGGAGAACUCCAGGGAACACUGUUCAUACAGGCUAUGGUGCGAAGGAAUUCCCCUGUAGGUAUGCCAUACUUCAGUCUCUUAAGAAGCUGAUUAGCAUGAAAGACUGGAAGCUGAUUAUGGACAAUUCAGUUUGAAUUAUUCCUUUCUAUUUUGCUUUGAACUUUCCUCAUACACUUAAGACAUGAGUAAAUCACAUUGAAAAACAUUUGCCAAUUGAAUAUUUUAAAGAUUCAAGAGGUAGCAUGAUAUUGUGCAAUGAACACUGGCCUGACAAUGAGAAGAUAAAAACUCCUUUCCAAUGUGGCCACUUUAUCACUUGAGUGUUUUCUGAGAAAUCGUUUAAGUUUUCUGAGGCUCAGUUCCCUAACUCACUAAAAAGGAGAAUUAGCAGCCUGGCAUGGUGGCUCAUGCCUGUAAUCCCAACACUCUGGGAGGCCGAGGAGGGUAGAUCACCUGAGGUCAGGAGUUUGAGAUCAACCUGUCCAACAUGGCAAAACCCCGUCUCUACUAAAAAUACAAAAAUUAGCUGGGCACGGUGGUGGAUGCCUGUAAUCCCAGCUACUCAGGAGGCUGAGGCAGGAGAACUGCUUGAACCCGGGAGGCAGAGGUUGCAGUGAACCCUAAUUGCGCCAUUGCACUUCAGCCUGGGUGACAAGAGUGAAACUCCGUCUCAAAAAAAAAAAAAAAAAAAAAAAAAGCUUAUUUCUAAGAUAUCAUCUAUUCUCCAAUUUUGUACUUUUAUGAAUUCUGGCAAGAAGGGUUGGAGUGAUUCUGGGAAAGAACAUCCUUAGGCUGCCUUGAAGGGAGAAGAUAAUAUAGCUUUUCAUUUAAAAAAUGCUGAUAUCUACUUGCAAUCAAAAUCUAAGAAAACAUUCAAAAUGUGGUACUUUGCUUGAGGCAGAAUUUCUAACUAUCUUGUGAAUUAAUGAUAAGAUAAAUGAAAUGGCCAAACAAUCCCUUCAGUUUACCAGGUAAGAGGAUACAAAACUCCACACUUGUGCACAAUGAAGCUAUUCAGGUUUUGAUGAUACUUUACAGUGUCCCCUAUUAACAUUCAGCUUUUAAAACUAGUAUUCUGAUAAAGUGACAUUGUAUUAUUAGUUUUUUAUGGCAGUAGUAACUUAGCACUUAAUUAAUCCAGUCAUCUGUGACAUACAUAAACUUAUCCUGUAAAAAAGA
This 4515-nucleotide long non-coding RNA is filed under the name Homo sapiens (human). Its description in RNAcentral is "HSALNT0119544". Lineage: Eukaryota; Metazoa; Chordata; Mammalia; Primates; Hominidae. The record is from RNAcentral.